Molecule: long non-coding RNA, 499 nt
Filed under: Gorilla gorilla gorilla (western lowland gorilla)
Lineage: Eukaryota; Metazoa; Chordata; Mammalia; Primates; Hominidae
Description: lncRNA (ENSGGOG00000044536.1)
Source: RNAcentral
GCAAAGCCACAGUCCCUAUUGAGUAAGUCAUCCUCUGCACACACACUCUCAGGGAUGUGGUAACAAUUCUUUCCUUUGACCCUUCAGGCCUCACGUGUACCAGCACUCUGCUCUCCUUUGCCUUGGGACGUUCCAUCCCUGGAAGUUUCCCUGCCCACAUCUUUGUAGAGAGUCCAUUCUCCAAGCUUCAGUGUGUCAUCUGUGAGGACUGUGACCUACCUGGUACAUCGCCUCAGGGCAUUCAUUUCAGGCUCCUUCUAAAUGGUCAAGGAUCUUGGAAGCAGAGGGGUCUGCAGAAGUGCUUGCAACACUUUCAGCCUCAACCAACAUCAGAGACAAAAAUCCUUUCUGGAAUGAGAGACUGUUUCUUCUGCGUGAACUGUAAAAGGACCUAUUAUGCUUUAUCUUCAAGCCCAGCAAUGAAUGUAAGGUUCAGAAAAUUUGACAGACAUCCCCCUCCACGACUUAUCUUUUAAAUGAAAAAUAAAUUUAAGAGCAA